Molecule: long non-coding RNA, 681 nt
Filed under: Homo sapiens (human)
Lineage: Eukaryota; Metazoa; Chordata; Mammalia; Primates; Hominidae
Description: HSALNT0338200
Source: RNAcentral
AGCAAUCUACACACAUACACUCACACACCCCGUCCCUUUCCCUCCUCGCAGAAGCCGAGGAGAUGCCAUGUGAGGGUGCAGCGAGGAGUUGGGCUGUCUAAAAGCAAAGAAAGAGAUUGCAUCAGACACCGCAUCUGCUGACACCUUGUUCUUGGACUUCCAGCUUCCAAAACCGCGAGAAAUAAAUGUCUGUGUCUAAACCCCAACCCUACCACCUCAACUGCCGUGUGUGGUGUUUUGUGAUGGCAGCCCCAGCUGACUGAGACACCUGGUUAGACCGGAAUAAGCAGGCUGCAAUCGGUAGCAGUCACCAUUGAACAUCCUUGAAGCAAUUCUUCCAAAAUUACCUUGCAUCAAAGACUGCACAAGAACUGCUCUAAGCGGAAGGACUGAUGUCGGCAACCAGGGUUCCACCAGGGGCUGCAGACAGCCCUUGACCUUCAGGUGGGAAGGUGUCACUGAGUUCAGACCCUCUGGCAAUCCCUAGCUAUCAACAUUUUGAUAAGAAAAUAAGUGGAAAGGUAGAACUGGAAGAUUUUGCUGAAAGAUUGGACAUGGCAUUCAGAGAAACAGAGGUUUUAAUGACAAACUCCAAGUUUUUGGCUGGAGCAACUGGAAGAAUGAGGUUGCCAUGAACCGAAAAGAGAGAUUGCAGAAGUAACCAAAUUUACUCACGUAGGC